Molecule: ribosomal RNA, 492 nt
Filed under: uncultured bacterium
Lineage: Bacteria
Description: partial 16S ribosomal RNA
Rfam family: Bacterial small subunit ribosomal RNA
Source: RNAcentral
AGUGAACGCUGGCGGUAGGCCUAACACAUGCAAGUCGAACGGCAGCACAGUAAGAGCUUGCUCUUACGGGUGGCGAGUGGCGGACGGGUGAGGAAUACAUCAGAAUCUACUUUUUCGUGGGGGAUAACGUAGGGAAACUUACGCUAAUACCGCAUACGACCUACGGGUGAAAGCAGGGGAUCUUCGGACCUUGCGCGAUUGAAUGAGCCGAUGUCGGAUUAGCUAGUUGGCGGGGUAAAGGCCCACCAAGGCGACGAUCCGUAGCUGGUCUGAGAGGAUGAUCCGCCACCCUGGAACUGAGACACGGUCCAGACUCCUACGGGAGGCAGCAGUGGGGAAUAUUGGACAAUGGGCGCAAGCCUGAUCCAGCCAUACCGCGUGGGUGAAGAAGGCCUUCGGGUUGUAAAGCCCUUUUGUUGGGAAAGAAAAGCAGCAGGUUAAUACCCCGCUGUUCUGACGGUACCCAAAGAAUAAGCACCGGCUAACUUCGUG